RNAcentral lists this long non-coding RNA (40862 nucleotides) under Nicotiana benthamiana. RNAcentral describes it as "long non-coding RNA (NBEN_LNC005240)". Lineage: Eukaryota; Viridiplantae; Streptophyta; Magnoliopsida; Solanales; Solanaceae. The record is from RNAcentral.
UGGAUGGUUUAAAUGAGCUCAACAGGGGACCUAGAGGUAAAGGUUCCAAGAAUCAAAAGGGUUUUACACCAGUCACCUUGGCAGUCAAGGGCCAGAACAUUCCGCUCACUGUUACCAAUGAUGCCGAGAAAGAUAAACCGAGCCUGAUUCCUGACAGAGAACAAUACAACUGUCCGGAUUUUCCAGUGGCAUAUUCUGAUGCCAAGUUUUUUAUAAUCAAGUCUUACAGUGAGGAUGAUGUGCACAAAAGCAUUAAAUAUAAUGUUUGGGCUAGCACACCAAAUGGUAACAAGAAGCUUGAUUCUGCUUACCAGGAGGCUCAACAAAAGUCUGGGGGUUGCCCAGUUUUUCUUUUAUUCUCGGUGAGCUUUCUUAAGAUACAUUAUUCUCUAGUCUUUUUUGAUUUUGAGUCACAUUCUCCUUGUUUUGGUUGCUUAACUUUGGUUUUCUUGUCCAGGUAAAUACAAGUGGUCAGUUUGUUGGUGUUGCAGAGAUGGUAGGACCAGUUGAUUUCAACAAGAGUGUGGAGUAUUGGCAGCAAGACAAAUGGAUCGGCUGUUUUCCUGUCAAGUGGCACAUUGUGAAGGAUGUACCAAACAGCUUGUUGAAACACAUCACGCUGGAGAACAACGAGAACAAGCCUGUUACCAAUAGUAGAGAUACGCAGGAGGUAAGCCCCAUGCUUUAAUAAUUAUGAGCAAGAUAGAAGGGUAGUGAUUUUUGCGCGAUCCCUUGUAAUCUGUCAUGGCUCGUUUGACCUUCAUAUAAUUGUCAGUUACUGUUUUUAUCAACUGUUUCACCUAUUCCAAAAGAAGAGGGGUGUUACAACAGUUUCAUUGUUUUGUACAGGUUAAAAUGGAGCAGGGCCUACAGGUGAUUAAGAUAUUUAAGGAUCAUAUUAGCAAACAGUGCAUUCUUGAUGAUUUUGAGUUCUAUGAGGAUCGUCAGAAGAGAAUUCAGGAAAAGAAGGCCAAGCAGCAGCUAUUCCAGAAGCAGGUAGCUUAUAAUGUACUAAAUUUCUGCCUAUUAAAUGAAAUUUAAAAAAAAAAAAAGAGGAACAAGAUGAGGUGCUUUCACUACUGUAUUUAGCAGUAGUCGAUGUCUUCACCAUAAUAAUCUUCGAUUUGGUAGUUAAUUGUGGUUCUUUUCUUUGGUUGUCUCAGUCGCAAGCAUGGGAAGGCAAAACUACUGGAGAGAAGAAGAAAGAAAAUACAAAGUUGGAACCGAAGUCCCAGAAACCUUCAGAAGUUCCUGCUGGUUUGAACAAGGAAAGUUUACCCGCUGCUCCGACUAAUGGGGAGGUCAAGCUUACAGAAAAUGGAUCAGUUACAAAGGGAGAUGAUGUGAAGGGUGCUAAACCAGUCACUGUAGCAGAAAAGAAACCUGUAGCUAAAGGGAUAGCAAAUGGAGUUGCUAAUGGAUGCUAGCUUCACCUAAUGAAGGGGGAGGUCUGUGGUUGAAGCGGCCCUAAAUUGGAGCUUGUUGACUACAUGAUUUGCACACGAGUGCUUGGUUAGAUCUCAUAACCAUUGGACUGCCCCGUUUGUCCUAGCUGCAUUUGGAGUUGGUUCUUGCAUUAAGAAAUCCCCCGAGAUAAAUCAAUAGUGGCAAGGCUAGUUCAAUAUGUUUCUGAGUUCAGGAAGUAUGGAAGCUCCAUUUUCCCUCAGGUUUUAGCUUCUGACAGGUUUCAUACCUAAGGGAUUUGGGUUAGGAUAAUUUUUUUUUAAAAUUUUGUUUUUGUCUUGUGGCUUAUUUUGGUCAAUUUUCCCUUUUUAAAAAAGUUAUUUGGGGUUUAAAGGGUGGGGUUCUUGUUAUUAUUAGUUUGGCUCCCAAUCCUAUCUUGUAAAUCCAGAUCAAUCUGUUAUGGCAGUUCAACAUUGCUUUUUUGUACUAAUGAAAGAGCUAGAAGCGAGGUGGGAAUGCAUUGCAAUAUAGUUGAUUCAAGAAACAUUUGGCAGCGAUUUUCCCCAAUUUCAUGUUUAGUGUAAUUCAGAGCGACUCAUUCGUUGCUGUUGCUCUCAUCUAAAUUCGCAUUGUCCAAUUAUCAGCUGUGGAUAGUUGUCUUUCUUCCUUAAAAUUGAAGUAAUAUCUGGACAUAAGAAAUAAAUGAAAAGGUCCAAAUUUUAAUUGUACUACCGUGAUUACUCAACUUCUUUCUUCGUAGAGUUAAUUCAUACUCUUGCAUUAGUUUUUGUAUUUGUACUUGUAGAGGUGGUUCGGGCAUGUGCGGAGGAGAAGUCUUGCUGCCUCGGUGAGGAGUUGUGAGCGGCUGGCGAUGGUCGGUGUACGGCGAGGUAGAGGGAGGCCUAAGAGGUAUUGGGGAGAGGUGAUUAGGCAUGACAUGGCUNNNNNNNNNNNNNNNNNNNNNNNNNNNNNNNNNNNNNNNNNNNNNNNNNNNNNNNNNNNNNNNNNNNNNNNNNNNNNNNNNNNNNNNNNNNNNNNCACGACGCUCUUCCGAUCUAUAGGAAAGUCUGGAGGUCUAAUAUCAGGGUUGUAGGAUAGAGGCUCCUAGAGUUUUUCGUACUUCUCACCUGGGGUUGGGUGAGGCUUGGCAGGGUUACCCAUAGAUGAUUUGUGUAUUGGAUUGUGUUUCCCUUAUGGUAGUUAUUUAUGGUAGCUACUGUCUGAUAUUAUUGCAUGCUAUUUUAUGUAUGGUUCUUAUGUUUAGAUAAUUAUUUACGCUAUUUCUGCUGGAGUUACUAAUGCUCUUUUGUUUUUAUNNNNNNAUUUUAUGUAUGGUUCUUAUGUUUAGAUAAUUAUUUACGCUAUUUUUGCUGGAGUUACUAAUGCUCUUUUGUUUUUGUUUUUAUUUUUCCUUUCCUUCAUUGAGCCGAUGGUCGAUUGGAAACAGCCUCUCUGCCCUUUCUGGUAGGGAUAAGGCCCGUCUACAUAUUAUCCUCCCCAGACCCCACUUUGUGGGACUAUAAUGGGUAGUUGUUGUUGUUGUUAGUUUCAACAGGAAAAAGGUGAACUUUACAAGUCAAAUUUCAAUAUAAAAUUAUUUCAGGUUGGAGCUUUAUUAGGAGUCGAAGGUAAAUAUGAAUAUUUUUUCUUAACGAUGGAUUAAGUUAUUCAUGUCCCGUAGUAAAUUUGGACAACAGAUUGGGGACGAAAGGAUGCAUUGACACUGUUGUGUGGACACCAGACUCUAGACGACAGCCAAAAAGGGAUUUUCAGGUCUUCUUCUAUUAGAAACUUUAAUUCCUUCGAUAAUGAAUUCUUGAAAUAUGUAUGAAUAUCAUGAAUUAUGCAUAAUUAUUUGGGUUAAGACAUCAAGAAGGCUUAAACUAAUCUUUUCAAUGUGCUUCAAGUCCAAAGCUCUGUCGAAGAUCGUUUAGUUCACAGAUUAACUAUAUAGGAAUUGUUAAUGCGAUGAAUAUUAUAAGGCGAAAUACAAUAACUGUUCUGUAAAGAGUGUCCAGUUUAAGGUAUUCUUUUGUUUUUUAGAUAAUCUUAGUUGUUGAACGACAAUAUUUACAAAGAACAAGAAGGAGAGCAAAAACAAUUUAUCGAAUAUAAUAUUGUGUCGUGAUAAGCUACUGACUAGGGUGCAAAGCCGAGAUCGAGUGGCUGCACGUUUGGAGUUUACAAAAAUAUAAUUGCCCAGAAAUUUAUUCACAAGAACAAGAAACAUAACAAAAAGGAUUGACCAUUUUGCGUUUGUAUCUCUUAUAUAUAUAUAUAUAUNNNNNNNNNNNNNNNNNNNNNNNNNNNNNNNNNNNNNNNNNNNNNNNNNNNNNNNNNNNNNNNNNNNNNNNNNNNNNNNNNNNNNNNNNNNNNNNNNNNNNNNNNNNNNNNNNNNNNNNNNNNNNNNNNNNNNNNNNNNNNNNNNNNNNNNNNNNNNNNNNNNNNNNNNNNNNNNNNNNNNNNNNNNNNNNNNNNNNNNNNNNNNNNNNNNNNNNNNNNNNNNNNNNNNNNNNNNNNNNNNNNNNNNNNNNNNNNNNNNNNNNNNNNNNNNNNNNNNNNNNNNNNNNNNNNNNNNNNNNNNNNNNNNNNNNNNNNNNNNNNNNNNNNNNNNNNNNNNNNNNNNNNNNNNNNNNNNNNNNNNNNNNNNNNNNNNNNNNNNNNNNNNNNNNNNNNNNNNNNNNNNNNNNNNNNNNNNNNNNNNNNNNNNNNNNNNNNNNNNNNNNNNNNNNNNNNNNNNNNNNNNNNNNNNNNNNNNNNNNNNNNNNNNNNNNNNNNNNNNNNNNNNNNNNNUAUAUAUAUAUAUAUAUAUAUAUAUAUAUAUGGCCGAUUAAUUCUCAUAAACAGCCAACAGUGGGGGGAUAUUCUCGUAAGUAUGUAUUUGAAUAAUUUUCUGAUAGGCUGAAAAUAUUAAAAAUAAUUUCAUAAAAUUAGAUUUGGAUUAAGCCUCACGUGUAUCUCGUGUGCAUGGUAGGAAAAUCUAUAAGUUUUGCCUUCGAACCUAUUUCUAACGUGCACGAGCAACUCUGUUUUACUAGCUCUUUUCAAACCUAAUAGAAGACACUCAUUAUAAGGGGGCAUUUGCAUCUAUCCAAUUUUGAGAUCCCCAUUGAAGUUAUACCCAUUUUGCACAAAAAUUACAAGUCUACUUAUUUUUGGAUCAACUUCAAACUUCGAGUCUGAAGUUGAAGAACAAAACAAAUUUGGUUUGAAGUUCAGUGCACUUUAGUUGCACUUCAGACCAAUUAAGUCUAAAGUGAAAACAUUACACUUAAGGCCAAAUAGGUUUGAAGUGAAACCAAUGUUUUCAUGCACUUAUUUGGCCCUUAAGUGCAAAUUGCCUAAUAACAUAAAGUUGUUAUUCAAAUUUUAACAAUCCAACACAUAAUUCAAUACCUAAAUCAACUCCAAAUGAGCUCAAAUUUGAAAUAUAACAUCCAAGUAUCAUAAAUGACAAACUACAAUCAUCAAUUUAUUAUAUAACAAAAAAUCUAACAAACUUAUUUUGCAAUUAAGAAGAAUAAGAAUAAGAAAAAACCCUAAGCAGUAGUAGAGAAAAGAGCACCAUUGUAACUGUGAGCACGUGAUUUUUGCCCUACAUGAAUUACUCCCAGAAAUUCAAACAAAAUGAUUUUGUUCAUUAUUUUAAAUUUUGUGAAUUUUUAUGGCAUUUUAUGAUAAUUGUUUAUAUUUUGUCCGUGCAUUUUAAUUCAUAUAAAAUACAAAAAAUAUGCAUUGCAUUUAGGGUUUAAUUUUGGCGAAAUGGCUUCCUGGCCACUUAAACUUGUCGGGUUUUUUAAAGCCGAUAUAUAAACUUAUAACUUUCUCAUUUGAACAUUCGAACUCGUUUUUUUCAUAACUAAUAAAUACAUUUGAUCAUUGACCAAGGCCAUGUGGCGUCGGUUGGUCCUAAUCAGUAGUUCACGUGAGAAACACGAUGCACAGGAGCGUGAAACCCCCUUCCCAAUGCCUAACAGUACAAAAUAUCCCCUUCCUCCAUUUUUAAAAAUCUGAAGCUCCAUUUUCAAUUUUUUUUUUAUUUUUCAGAUCGUGAAAAUAUUGGAAAGUUGUAUAUUUUGUCAUUGUAGAGUUGAAGCUAAGUUUUGAACUUCCCCUUCCAAGUUCGUUGAACUCCUUGAACCCAAUAAUGGCAUGAAAAAUUUAGGACCGGCUCCUGUGCGUAUAAUAGGAUUGGAAACAACAGGAGGAGUUUCAAGUUUACGAAGGAGAGAGAGCAAGAACAAAAGACAACAAGUUGUUGGGCACAUUUGAGUUCUCUGGUAUACACCCUAUUCCUAGAGGCGUACCUCAAAUAACUGUUUUCUUUAAUGUCGAUGCCAAUGGAAUAUUGAAUGUCUCUGCUGAGGACAACACUACAGGUCAGAACGAAAAGAUUACAGUUACGAAUGAUAAAGCUCGGCUUUCGCAGGAAGAGAUUGAGAAUAUGGCCAAUGAUGAAAAGAAGUACAAGGCAGAUGAUGACGAACACAGGAAAAGAGCCAAAGCUGAAAAAGCAUUGCAGGGGUAAACCUCCUUCAUACCCUUCUGGAUAUUGGGCGAGGAGAAUAUUGUCGAGCAGCUUAGCGCAGAAAGACAAGAAAAAGGUUAAGGAUGUUCUUGAACAGUCAAAGAGAAAGAGUUGCUCCUUGAAUUUUUGUGCCCUUACGUGUAAGACAUACAUUGGUCAUUUGCUGAUUGGAUGGACACGUAUGUGUAUGUGUAAUACACUCGCACUAGGUCAAUGGUCAAAUGCGUUUAUUAGUUAUGGAGAAACGAGUUCGAGUGUUCAAAUGAGAAGAUUAUAAGUUUAUGUAUCAGCUUUAAAAAACCCGACAAGUUUAAGUGGCCAGGAAGCCAUUUCACCUUUAAUUUUACAUAUUUUGAAAUUAAUUAGUAAUUAGGAAUCUUACAAAAUAUAAGAGAAAAUAUAAAAAAAUAGUUUGUCUUGGCAUUAUUUAAUUUGUAGCUUUGAAUUUCGCUGGUUUUCAUUUAAUAUGAUGUUUGAUUAGUUUGGGAUAAUUGGUAGGGAUAAUUAAUUUUAUUUUUAGAAUUAAUUUAGGGUUUUUCUAGUUUAAUUUGGAAAAGAAAAAGGAAAAGAAAUUAAAAAUAAAAGGGCUUUCUUAAUAAAAGACCCAAAAUUGGGCUUUUUUUAAUUAAAUAUUCCUAAGCCAAACAAGUCCGCGCCAGUCCCAGCCCAAUUGACUUACUCGGUCCACCCUUUUCAAUUCAAAACGACGAUGUUUCCCCGAGCAUUUAUCACAACCCUUGAUUUUUCCUCAUCCAACGGGUGAGAAUUAACGAGGUUCUCAAUAUAAAAUGGCCGGACCAUGCCCCCCCCCAAUCCAUCCUCUCCCACAACUCCCAUUAACCCUAGAGACCUCCUAUCCGUCAGUCGCCGCCGAAAAUCGCCUCACGGCGGCUGGUCUCCAAAUCACCCCAAAUUAACACCAUUGAAUCACCCUCCCCUCCUCUUUCCAAUGCCUCAAAUACUUUCUUUCAAUUCCAAGCCCAACUCGUCGAACUUUCCAAACAGUAUCGUCGCCUCCGCCACCCACGGCGGUGACAUCACCCAAACACGUCCAGAAUUUCACCCUGAAAUCCCCUCACCAUCCUGUUUCUAAAUCUUUGUACCUUUUCCCUCAAAUCACAGCCAAUCCCUUCGAAUCUUGCUUUGAAGAUCCGGCCAAAACACCACCACCUCCAAACUCCGCCAUAUUAACACCACAUGAUAUCCUUACACCCCUCAUCCCAAAUCCACAACCCUUAACCCUAGAAUCAUCCUCGUUUGGUUUGAAUUUCAGAUCGAAAUUUUGGCCGAAAACCCUAACUUCUUAAUGUUUGGGGAUAAAUGGUUUUCUGGCUAUAAUAGCUCUUAAUUAGGCAUUUUCUCACGGAAACACCUAAUUAGGGAUGAUUACAUUCUGAAUUUGUUGAGAAAGGGCCACUGAAUUCGAAUUUGAGGUAUUUUUAUUUAUUUUUUGUUUUGUUUGUUUCUUCUCUUUCCCGUGUUCUUUGAUUUGUGAUUAUUAUUCUCCUAGUUUCAUUUUGGUAAUUAGGAUGUUUAAUUUCAGUAUACUUGUCAUUGAUUUUCUUUAGGGUUAGUUCUAAUUCAUGAUUCAGUAAGCUUUCUUCCUAGUUUGACUGUUUCUUUGUUAUGCUUAAUUCCAUUAUCAUGAGUUUUCAAUUUUCUUUUAGUUCAAUCUUUAUUGUUAUUCAUGACUAAUUCUGUUCUGGUGAUGUUUUUGAUUGUUUUUAUUCUGUUUAAUUUUGUUUUCUGAUCCUUGAUGUUAGUUUAAUAGUGUGUUUUGAUUUAGUUAGUAAUUUCUUAUUAUUGCCUUUAAUUAGAUUUUAUUAGUCUAGUUACUUGGAUAUAGCUAAAUUAGAGUGGUUAGUUUAACUAUAGUCAAAGGCUUACUAGGGUUAGUAGACUAAGGUUAAGGGGAUGGGUUAGUUGAUAGUGAUUUGGUAAUUUCAGAUUAAAUUCAGGGGUAUUAUAGGCUUUUCGACAAAGGGAAUCUGUAAUAACAGGGAAUAGAAUUCCCUAGAAGGUUGUUGAUAGGGUUCAAAAUAGACUUUUAGAAGGUUAAUGGCUAUAAUUGAGUAACAAGUCAGAAAAUGAAGGACUAAACAGUUAAAGUCUGAAAAUGAAAUAGGGGGCAAGGGGGUAAAAGAAAAUCUGAAAAUUUCCCUGAUCUUUGCCUAUAAAAGGAAGUCCCUAUUGCCUCAAUUGCCAAGUUUUAAGAUAUGAAAAUUCUCCCCCAAAAAAGUGUCCUAGAAGUCUUUACAGAUCUAAAAUUUGAAAUUCAAAAUUCUCUCAAAUCCUAGAGAGGGAAAAAUGUGAAGAAGUUCAAAUAAAAAACUACUGAAAACUCCAAAAAUUGUGUAGGAAUAGAUAGUCUAGAUACAAAUCAUUGUAAAAGCUUCUCCAGUCUAUUUUGUUCAACUCUAUUGGUUUUCAAGCUAAUUUUCAAAUCCAGCUGGUAUAUUUGAUUGUUCGAAGCUCUUUUGAAAGUCAAUUGCAUCUUAUUCUUCUUGUUUGGAUUUCUAAUUGUUUUUGUGAGCUGUGUUGUUGUUGAUAUCGCUGCUGAUCCUUGCUUACUGUUGCUGAUCCCUCUCUUUUCUUACACUUUAUUCUACUUCCAUGUACACGCUUUGAGACUGAUCUGAUGUAAUUUCUCCAAUUGAAAUUGAAAUGCAAUUGAUGCCUGAUAUCCGUUGUAGAUUUUACUGCUUUGAUAGUCUAUUAUACUGUGUGUAGUUCUAGGAUUUGGUUGGUGUAUUCAUUGCCAUUAAUCUAUUUGUAAUGGAUUAUUUGGACCGUUAAACUAGUGAUUAUUCAUUAGCCUUAGUAUAAUUUUGUUUUGUUUUUGUGUAGUUUAACCUUGAAAAUUAGAAGAAUAGCUGGAACAGGAAACUGAUUUUGAGAUAUAUGAUCUUCAUUUGUAUUAACAACUGGAAAUUCAAACUAUCGUGAGUAGUUAGCAGAAAUAUCGGCUAUAGUGUUGGUAGACUCAGAUCUGAUAGUAAGUUACUGAUUGGAACUUGAUUUUAAAUGGAUUACAUGCUCCUACUAGUGUAAGAUCAAGCGUUCUUUGGUUUUCAAAUGCAUUAGAUAGUUUAGUUAUGGAUAUAAGUCACGCAUGAAAACCCAUGGGAUGUAUUGAUCAAAACUGAUGUGUGUAUGUGGCGUUUCUGAUUUCAAAUUCAAUACGUUUGGCUAAUUGUAUACCAAUGAGUUGAAUAUUCAUAUCAUGAUUGGAUUCAAGGUUAAAACUCAGGAUCGUUUAUUUGUUUGCAAAUCAUUAAGCCCACUUUGUAAAUUAAAAUCAUUAGUUUGAAACAAACAAAAAUCAGCAUUGGAUGUGGGCCAAAACCUAGUAGCCCUUCACUUGAAUGGGAUCUGGGCCUGAAUUUGUUUGCCCAAGGGCCCAAUGCAAGGCAGCUCCUCACAAAGCUGACAGUAUUUUCCCAUUCUGGGCUAAUCCUUAAGGCCCAAAGUGCUGAAGGUUUUUAUAAGGUUGUUGUUCAAAUUUAUAGUGCAAUUGUAGGCCUUCCAAGUUAGGUAACGAAUUUAAAUUAAGAGGUUCUUCCUCUUGCUUAAGUUCGGACUUGAACUUGAGGCCCGAUUUCCUAAUGCUAAUUAAUUAGGCCUUUUAGAGACAAUACUUAAUAGAGAAUCAUAGUUGUUUUAGGUUGGCCUUAAAAUAAUUUGAGGUUCGCCGGGCCAAAUAAAACUACAAAUAGUGUGACCCUCUUAAUUGUUUUUCUACAAAAAUAUUUAGACUUUGGGACGUGCCAUUUAGCGAAUUUCAUGGCCUUCCGCAAAGUUAAUAAUACGCUAGUUACAUUAGGCCCGACAUUUAAUAAUAUUACCUUCCUAAACUGGGUGCACAUUUAUGUGACCCAAAUCCAAAUUCCAACGAAGUUGAAAUGUGUCAAAAAUCACGGGUGCAUUUAUGUGACGUGGUUCGAGCGUGUUUUAACGAUAUUGCAAUUCUCUUUAAAAAAUAAUAAUAAAGGCGGUUUAAAGUCAAAAUCACAUAGAUUAAACAUGUAUUAAAAUCAGAUUAUAACCAUUUAUAACAGUUGUGCGACCGUGCUAGAACCACGGAACCCAGGAAUACCUAACACCUUCUCCCGGGUUAACAGAAUUCCUUACUCAAAUUUCUGGUUCGUGGAUUGUUAAUCAGAUUCAAUAAUUUCCUCGAUUCAAAAUUCAACUAGUGACUUGGGACACCAUUAAUAUCCCAAGUGGCGACUCUAAAUCUCUUAAUAAGUGAAUCCUGUUUCGAUUGUCCUUUAUUUGGAAAAACUCCUUUACGCCCUUCCGGGGGUAGGAAAAAAGGAGGUGUGACAACUCUGGCGACUUUGUUGGAGAUCGAACCCUGAAUCUCUGGUUCGGGGUUUAAGAAUUCGAGCUUACAAUAAUUUUUAUAUUUGGCUUUAUCUAAUUUUUCCUACAUGUUUCAUGCUAAAUGUGCUAAAUGCUUUACCACUUUGAUAUUAUCUGAAUUGUAUAUAAACUGACGAAACCCUUCUUUUCUCAUCUCCGGGCAUGUUCUUACUAGUUGAGACUCCCUAUUAUGCUAGUGUCAUACCCUGAAAUAAGAAAGAGGCCGAACAAGUUACAAAGCUGGAUGGCCUUUUGGUUCUCGGUAGGUAGCCCUCUCCUCGACUCGAGUUGUCCGCACGGGUACACAGUCUAGAACACAUACCUAGGUUUUGAACCUAGAAUAACUUGACUUCAUGUCGGAUCCCCAGUAGGAACGCUUAUUUGCAUCACGUGCAUAUGGCUUAGGGGUCUCAACACAGGGGUUGGGUCAGUCUAGGAUAGGUAACCUAAAAUGAAACGACCAUCAUGAUGCAUCUUACGUGUUGCAUGUACAUUUUUGUCUUGGACUCGCAUGCUGACCGGCAUUGAAUAUUUGAAAAAGAGAGAAAUAGCAGUGUAGAGAGUUAAUUACCUAUUUUAGAAAAACCAAUGCCCAAAUAGUGCUGAAACUCUACCGUAUUUUUGAGAAAAAUGAAAGGAAAAAGAAAAGUGUUUUUUGCUAAUGAAAAAGAAAAUAACUAAAAGAGUUUUAUUUUCAAAAUAGUUUGUUUUAUUUGCCAUUGAAAAAGAAAAUAUAAAAAAGAGUUUUAUUUUCAAAAAUAGUGUAUUUGCCAACAAAAAGAGUUUUGUUUUCGAAAAUAGUUAGUUUUAUUUGUCCAAGCUACGCCAGUUUGAUUCUCACAGGGUGUGGGAUACGUAAGCAACCCCCAUCGGGUCCAACUUCCCUCUUACAAAAUAGCCAAAAAUAACUAAAGUUUUAGUUUUCGUCACAAAUAAGUCGGAGUCUAUGCUUGUCUAAAAUAAACCGAAUGUCCCCAAAAAGACGCCGGAAGGCCGUUUUUGCAAGAACAACCACCUUGGAUCGUUUUCAACGGUUAGUGGGCACAACCUUAAAAUCUUCUCCUCGAGGUGCUAAAAGGUCUUAUCCGCAAAAUCGGUUGUCUGUUUUGAAUUAGAAAUUUGAAAAAAAAUAAUGUUAUUUUUCCCUUUUAGGUCAAAAUAAGUGACUAAAUCACCUUAAUAAUAUGAUGGAUGAGCACGAUUCAAAAUGAACCUUUCUCAAUCAUGAAUAAAAUUCCUCCGGAGUUGCGUCUAUGGUGGAACGAUUUAGGUAAGGAAGGACAAGACGAGGUCAAAAAAUAUUUGAAAGGGCUCACUGAUUUGUUGGAAAUUGUGCCUCGGGUAGGGGUGUACAAAGGAAACCAAUAAACCGUACCAACGCGAUAAUCCGGGUCAAACCGAGAAAAAAAACCUGACUAUGGUUUGGUUUGAUUUGGUUUGGUGUAGAAAAAAAACCCGACCAUAAUUAGUUUGGUUUGGUUUUAACUAAAGAAAGUCAAACAGAAACCAAACCAACCCGACAUUACAUAUAUUGAAAUUUUAGAUAUAUUAAUAUAUAAAUAUAAUUAUUGUGAUAUAAUUUGUAAAUAUUUCUUAAAAAUUCUAUAAUUGAAAUUUUAGAUAUAUUUAAUAUAUAAAUAUACAUAUUGUAAUGCAAUUCAUAAAUAUUUCUUUAAAAAAUUCAUAAUUUUAUCUUUUAAGGUAUUAUUUCAAGGUUGGACUUAGAACUUUUGCUCCAACAAGUUUUAUAGACAUUAAUACUAGUAAAUUAAUAAUGCUAACAAUCAAUACUAAUGCUAACAAAGACAUUCAAUUCAAUAUUACGAACAUGAAUGUAUUGAAUAUCUAUUUUUUGUUUUUCAAUAAUUUAGAUAAAAAAUGAACCUAUUUUUAUUUUGUUUUAGCUUAUUGUCAUGUAAUUAAUACUUCCUUAUUAGUCUAUUUAUUUUAGCAUGACUUAGUACUUUUAGAUUGUGUUUAUUUUUUAUGGCUUUUUAAUUAGCAAUAUUUAUAUUACAUAAUUUUAUUAACUUUAUUGUUGAAUAUUUUAGGAUAAUGCCAUGACAUAUCUCAUAUUUUGUAUUAUUUUCUUGNNNNNNNNNNNNNNNNNNNNNNNNNNNNNNNNNNNNNNNNNNNNNNNNNNNNNNNNNNNNNNNNNNNNNNNNNNNNNNNNNNNNNNNNNNNNNNNNNNNNNNNNUUAUAUAGUUGUAUCUUACUAAGAUUAAAGAAAUAUUUUGAGCAUACGCUAUAUGUUUUGUUCUACGAAGAUUUUACCAGAAAAAAAUUCGAAAAACCCGAAUAACCCGAAAACUCGAGAAAAUUUGAGAAAAACCGAUAUUGAAAAAUCGAGUUUUAUUGGUUUGGUUUGGUCUUUAGAUUUAAUAACCCGACACAAUUGGUUUGGUUCCUUUAAGACAUAAAUACUUGGUUGCCCCGAGAACCGUAGCUAUACACAGAUUCUUAGACUCACUGACGAUAAUCAGGAUGGUUCAUAACACGGAUUUGGCAAAUGGAUUUUGUAAUCCACACUUCAUAUACCACAGAUAUGGACACGUAGGAGGGUUCAAUAACCCGGAAAGAAAAAUAUGUAGCAAAGGAAACCAGCAAAAAUGGGAGGAACAUAGGCGUUUCGCUUUUAUGGAGGUCUUUUUGGGGCUUUUGGUAUUCCCGGGGAAAGAUGGAAAUAUUGACAUAAAAAUAGUCAGGGUCGUCAACACUUUAAUGAAUCAAUCCAAAAGCACUCUUGUGCCCAUGAUAGUAGCUGGAAUAUUCCGCGCUCUUACAGUCUGCAAAGUCGGAGGAGACUUCUUUGAGGGGUGCAAUCUAUUGUUGCAAAUGUGGAUGAACAAAAACCUGUGCCAUCGUCCUCAAUUCCUGAGUUAUGGGUCUACGGAGAAAACUUGCAUAAAGGAGUUUUAUACGAAAAUUAAGGAGGUUAUCUUGCCUGAAGGAGUCACGGAAUGGACAUCAUACUUUCGUUCCCUCACGGCCAGUCAAAUAGUGUGGACGUUUGGAUGGUUACCUGUUGAUGAAAUUAUAUAUAUGCCAGCAGCGGGGCCACACUUCCUCUUGAUAGGUCUUAAGAGCAUUCAGCCUUAUGCUCCACAUCGGGUUUUAAGGCAACUCGGGAGAUGCCAAGUAGUGCCAAAUAACGACGAUCUUAGUGUCUAAUUGGUUGGAUUGGUCCUGAUGGCCAGUUUCCUGAAGCAAAGGUCCGUCAGAUCUGGAGCGAAUGUCAAUACUUGCAACGAAUACAUGUGUGCGGGAUCGAUCUAAUGGAGAAGUUUCACCUGGGUAUCAUGAUUGGUACAAAAGGGAAGUUGCAUUCGGGAGGCCAGCCAAAAGACCUCACCUCCAGGAUUUUGCUGAAUCAUCACAAGAACAAUGGGCCUGGUUAGCUAAAGAAAAUGAAUACACGACCAAAAUCUGAGAUUUGGAAAGGUGGGUCCGAGACCUUCAGUUUGAAAACAGUGUGCAAGCCGCAACCGAUAAGGGUGAGAAGAAGAAAUUGGCCAAAGAGAAUGAAGCCUUACAAGCCCAAAUUCAAAAAAUGAAGAUAGCGGCCGAAAAUACCAUUAGGAGCGCCAAGGAUGCAAAACUUAUAGAUAAUCUAAGGCAAAAAGUGAAUGACUACUGUUUUGAUCUCAACAAAACAAAAAAGGAAUUAGUCAGGGUUCGGAAACAAUUGGCUAAAAAUGCAGAAGAACGGGCCCGCAUGGUUAAGUAGUUGAAAGAAGAGCAUGAUAAUGAGGUCACACGAUUAAAUAAAAGGGUCAUCUCCACAGAGCACAAAAUGAUCAAAUAGGGGAAAGAAUUCAAGAUUGAAAGAGACCAUUGCUAAACGGUGUUGGCACAAUUAGAAAUGGACUUGCAGCGACUCCAAGAACAAAACCAGGUAGCGGAGCAGACAUUGCAGGCUAGGGCCCAACAGAUAGCAUGGUUACUUCAGGAAAAAGGCAGGAUCAGAGAGAUAAUCUUAACCGUUGCUCACUACAUUACUAGGAAAUGCUAAGUGUGUGAGAACAUGACUCGCGCCACCUUUUUUGCAACGGUGAUGAUAUUUGUUAAACACAUAGUGGGUGACCUGCACAAACUUUAAAGGGAACUUGCAUAUAGGGCCGUGGCAAGACCGAGCGAUGUCCCGCGGGUACUAGGAGCUUUAAUGUAUUCAUGAUUUCCUGUUGUACUAAGAUUUUGUCAAUUGUUUGAGUAUGUAUUUUCUUUUCACUAAGAGUCUGUCAGUUGAUUGAGUUUGUAUUUCCUUUGAAAUAGAAUAGUUGAUGUUGGAGUCUGUAGCUUUUAUUUUCAUCAGAGUUUGUUAGUUAUGUUAAUCUGUCAGUUUUAAGUCUUUGUAAUCGAAGUAUUUGCUACCAAUAAAAUUGAAAAUCCCAAUACAUAUUUUCUUCUAUUUUACAUUUAAUUUCACGAACUAUGCUUGGUCUUAUUCAUGGGGGUCAUGAUACGUAGGCAACCUCCAUAGGAUCCGAUCAUAACCAAAUGGAAAAGGAAAUAAGAAGAAAAACAAGAGAGAAAAGAAAAAUAAAAGGGAGAAAGAAAAUAAGAAACCAAACGAAAAAACAAUGGAAAAACAAGAGGGAAUGAGAGAAUAAUAACAAAUAGAAAACAAAAGUAAGAACGAAAAAGAGAGAGAAAAAAGAAAAGAAAAAGGAAGUUGCAAUCAAAAAUAAGGAAAGUCGGGAUGACGCACGCAGCUAAGCGAAUGCAUAAUAGAAAUGGUUAACUGCUUAGGUGCAUUCAUUCCCCAAACAUGCGGUUAUCAAAUAUGUUAAUUCCCUAACUCUAACCAAGUUGUUGUUGAUAUUGAGUCCAAGCAUGUGGUUAUGUAAGGCCCCGAAAAAUUUCGCUAAAUAACCUAAGAUUUCGUGGUGCCAUGUAGGCUUAUUAUAAUAAUUUAUGUGCUAUUAACAUGGUGUACAUAGAUUAUAGUUUGUAAAUAUGUGUAUAAGUCUUAUACUAAGUAAUUUGCGGUCCAAAGAAAGGCCUAGGUCUAAGAAAUAUUGGAAGGGUUCUUAAUAGGCUAAGAUUCCCAAUGAGCUUGCACAAGUCCCCACUUUGAGAAAGCACGCCUAAGUAUGUAUAAGCUUUUAUGUGGCGAAUAACAUAUUAAAUGAAAGGUCUUUGAGAUUAGUUUCCAUCGGUUCAAAUCGUUCGUCAUUCAAACAUUCCUACACAAAGUUAUGCUCAAAUUACCAAAAACAGCAAAGAAUUUUUCACUACCGCGCCGCACCAUGCGUCUUCCCAUGCGGCAUGACUAUGCAGAUUAUCAGAGCACUUCCAAUUUCAUUUCUGAGAACACUUUCCACUACUACGGCGCACCACGCGCCGUCCCAUGCGGCGCGACAGUACAAAAAUGGACUUUUAAAACCCGAACUCUAUUUCAUUUAACUCGUUUAGGGUUCAUAUUUUUGGGUAUUUUCUUCUGAUUUUAAAGAGAAGUGAGAGCAUUUAGAGAGAGAGAAAGGGGGUCCUAGAGGGAGAAGGGGUUCUUCAUCAACAUUUAUCCUAAAGAUCUUGCUUAAACCUUGAAGAUUUGUCAAGAAGGGCACCUAGGUCAUCUUCCCAAAAGGUAAGAGUCUAUAUUCCAAGCUCUUAACUUCUAAAUACAACUAGGAUAGACCAUUAGAAGGGUAAUUGAUGAGGGUUGAAGUGGAUAUCUUUCAUGCAUGAGUUCUUAAGAGUAUUUUGUUAGGUCUUGAGCUAAGGAUGGAAUGAGGGAUGGUAGGCUCUUUCAAAAAAUAAUUUUAAAAGCAUAACACCCACUUAGUGUUUGAAAAUAUACUCAAAUAAACUAGAAAUAUGAAUUUGUGUUCGAUUUGUCAUGUUCCUAAGAGAUUGGCAUUGCUAAGAAUCUCGGAGUAUAGCAGGACUUAAGAAAAGCUCAAUCGAGGUAUUUAGGCUAAACUUUCUCUCUUGUAAGCGAAUUCCAUAUUGUUUGAAAGUUUAUGUGUGGUUUUACCUACCAAAAUUGCAUAGUCCUAAGUCGCAUCUUAAAUGAAGUUUAGCAUGCUAAUUGGGUGAGAAGAAUUGCUCUGUUUAAUGCUCCUAGUUUCUAUUGUGUGUACUAAAUGACUUGGUUUAUUAUCUCUACUUGGUCUACUUGUUGACAACACCCACUUAAUGUUUGAAAAUAUGCUCAAAUGAACUAGAAAUAUGAUUAUCUCUCUAAUUUGUGGUUCGAUUUGUCAUGUUCCUAAGAGAUUGGGGUUGCUAAGAGUCUCGAAAUAUAGUAGGACUUAAGAAAAGCUAAAUCGAGGUAUGUAGGCUAAACUUUCUCUCUCAUAAGUGAAUUCCAUAUUGUUUGUAAGUUUAUGUGUGGUUUACCUACCAAACUUUUAUAGUCCUGAGUUGCAUCUUAAAAGAAGUUUGGCAUGCUAUUCAACUGAGAAGAAUUUCUUUGUUUAAUUCUCCUAGUUGCUCUUGUGUGUACUCAAUGACUUGAUUGAUUAUGUCUACUUGUUGAUGAGAUGUAAUGACAUAUGGAAAUGAAUCGAAUCAGGAAGUGUGAAACAAUUAUGAAAUAAGUCUCAAAUCUUAUGAACUAACUUCCAAAUGUAGAAUGGCCUAAAGUUCUUGUACCUGAACUAUGCCUAUAAAUGGCUAUUUUAUAUAAUAUUUUGCCUUAUAGAUACAAUCAAUGUGUAAUAUAAUUGUUGGCUUGUAUUCCUGUUUGGGAAGAGUCCCUUAUGCUUGAUGACUCUAUCUAAUACAUAAUUUCUGGAAUAUUUGGUACGUUGAUAUUGGUUGGCGAUCUUUGGAAAUAAAGGGAUAAAAAUGUAAAAAACCGAAUACGGCCACUGUGCCAAGAAUAAAAAAUCUUGUGAAUGGCCAAAUGAGCCAAGGAAAUACUAUUGUUGUUGGUGGAUGGAAAUGCUAAUAGGAAUCUAUAUAUUGUGGAGGAUAUUGAGGUAAGUAUGGUUGCGUUUAUGCUAUAUUCGUAUACUUGUAUUUAUAUUACAACUGUGUGCACUACUAAAUUGAAUCAAAUAUGUUUUUUGGGAGUAUCUUUAGCAACACCCAGGAAGGCUGGGUCAUAAGACUCACUCCUAAAAUUACACGUGCCGGUGUAGGGGUGGAUCGUGCUUAUUCCCCUUAACUGGAUGAUCUUGGUAACAUUAAAAAUUGGUAACGCCAAUCCACACGGCAUAUAUGGGGAGGCAACUUAGCCAAUCGGGUCGUGAUCGGAUGUCAUGCCACACACAUGGUGGUAUUGUGCUGGAAAUUAAAAAUAUGGAAAUUUAAGACCUCGGAAUUCAAAAACUGGAAAUUAGUGAUUGUGGUACAUGUCUUUAAAGGGGCGACCUAGCCGAUCGGGUCGUGAUCAGACUUCGUUCUAACAAAGACGGUGGUUAAACUUAUAUCGGGGCUAGAGAUCUUCCAACCAAUAUAUAUAUAUAUAUAUAUAUAUACAUACAUACAUACAUACUAUACAUAUAUUUCAUAUACUAGAGGAAUAACAUGUUUCAAAAUUGGGUGUUACAACAUUGUUGAUCUUGACUUACUGUUUGUGAAUUCUCUGCUUGUACGGUUAUUCUAUUCUGAAAUAGGACUUUUAGCCUUACAUACUAGUGCUAUUUGACGUCACUAACGUACCUUUUGUCGGGGGUGCUACAUUGGUGUUAUGAUUGUAGGUGAUUCUAUAGAAGAUAGUUCAGUCCACCGGCAGUAACACCUCCUUUACUUUCCGUCAGCUGUAUUGGUGAGCCCCACUCCACUUCGGGGUCAUUUUGUAUAUCUUUUGUCAUUUUCUCAUUACAUUUUGAGGAAUAGCUGGAGCCUUGUUGUCGGCACUUCUCUACUUGUACUUAGAGGCUCCGUAGACUAUUGUGGGUGGUGGUUGAUGUUGAGAGUCCGGGCUAGAUGUGUUGUUAUUUGAUAAGCCUAUUUUUCAUUAAACUUGUAAUAUUUUUGAAAACUAAGUGAAGUAAUUAGCGGGAAUGAGAUGAAGGAUGCUAAAGAUAGAUUUCUUAGUGUUUUAUUAAAUGGUAUAUCCCCUAUUUAUUUAUGAACUAGUUUGGGUAGAAUGAAACAUAACAGGCUUGCUCAGUCAGGUUUACUUAGUUGAGCACCAGUUGCGCUCCUCGGAUUUUGGGGCAUGACAAACUUGUAUCAGAGCCUAAUGUUUUAAUGUAUCCUAGGAUGUCUCGGAGCCGUAUCUAGUAGAGUCCUUCUUAUCGGUGUGUUGUCGAUCACAUCUAUAAGUUGGAGGCUAUUUUGACACUUAGGAAUUUCACUCUUCUUUGACAUUUUGGAUCGUGCUAUAGAGCUAAAGAUAGGGAUCUAAUUUCCUUGUUUUGUCCCAUUUAUCAUAUGAGUAAUCCACGAUUUCGAAGUAGCGAGGAAGGAAUAACCCCUACCAAUGAAUUUAGGGGAAAUUGCGUACAAGUUUGUAGGGAGGAUGCGUCAAGCCGUGGAAGGUUUGGAAGAGCUUGUUGCUAAGGGGAGUGUCCUUGUCCCUACUAAUUUCAUCGUACCAACAGAGCAUGUAGUGAGGACGUCUAAGAAAUGAAAGAGGGUUGUUGGUGCUGAUAAUCCAAAAAGCUCAGUUUGCAUGAAACGUCACUUGAGGAGAUGUUGGAUGACCCUCGAGAUAUGUUACGGUUAUGGAAAGAGGGGGCAUAAGAAGAAUAAAUGCCCUUAGUUGGGUACACAUGUCCCGGACUGCUCGGUAUGUGGUAAGGAACAUGUAACGCCGUGUCAUGAGCAAGCCCAACAAUGUGUUUGGGGCGGUAGGUCAGGGAAAAUCCAAGGGCCCGCACAACAAACCAAUACUGGAAUGGGUACUCCCAUAUUGGAAGCUUGGAGGAAGGACAAGGGGGAAGCAUAUACUGUAUAAAAGGAUGACGAUUAUCAGGUUGGUAGGGCGAGUCAGUUUAGUGGACCUUGCCCGCGUUGUGUGAAAUGUGGGAAAUGUCAUCUGGGAGUAUGUCUCUAUGGUACUAAUGUGUGCUAUAGGUUUGGUAUGUUAGGUCACCUUCAACAAGACUGUCAUUUAUCUAGCCAAAUCGCAGGCAAGGGUGCAGCGUAGCCAGCUAGUUCUAAGCUACUUCAUCUAUAGCGCCUUCCAGACAGGAAGCAGUCGGGGGUGAUAUUCGGAGCUCGGGAGGAACCAACAAGUUCUAUGCAUAAGGAAGAAUCAGAGGUCGGAGUCUUUUCCAGGUGUGGCUACAGGUAUAUUGACUUUUCAAUUACGUGAUGUAUAUGCUCUUUUGAUUCCAGUUUCGCUUUGCCAUUUGUCAAUCCUUACAUUGUUUUGGAAUUUGCGAUACAGUCAGGACGACCUUAUUGUCCAUUUUGUGUAUAUAUACUUUGAGCAAGAUGUAUUACUCGUGAAGCCUCUUCAUUAAAAUUAUCUUACAUGCAACCUUCUAUGGAAUUGAGUCUUACAAUGAUUUCCUGAAUAGAGUCAGAAUCUGAGGGUAACUAUUUCCACUUGCUUUCCUAGACUCUCACUAAGAAACCAUAUCUUUUUAGUUUCUUACAAGUGAUUUUACUCGAAAGAAACAUGUACUCGUGCAUAUGCACAAACCGUCAUAUAAUUUGCCUAUGUGCUACCAAAUUCGGUGUAAAGCUACCCGGUAUAUGGUCCUUAUUGAGUCACUCUUUUCUCCCCGGUGUAGAUGGCUUCUGUGGUUCAAAUAAUCACUCUGCUCCUUCACUAAUAUUGUCAUAAAUUUUCUCACUAUCUAGUGACAUGAGAGCCUAUCUCAACUCCUAUUAUGGGUGUGCAUAUCAGUUGAACAGAGCGGUUCUCUAUAUAAGCUUCUAAGAAAUUUGAGAUCUUCACAAACCCGCCACAAGAUGGCCUUUUCCUAUCCCAUUGUAGUAUGACUUUUGGUCACACCAAAAUUGUUCUGCAAUAAGUAACUCAGUUUAUUCCUAGCAUUGAAGCUUCCGUGGAUUGUCCAGGUAUCACAUCCAUAGAAUUAUGAUAAGAGGAUCGUGUCAAUCUUCAUCUCAUAAGAAAAGAGAUUAUUCCCUCUCCAUCUAGCACAUGAAACCCUUUCCAUAUUUUUAAUAAGUCCUGUUAAUGUAUAAUCAAUCAUGAAAGGUUCGUAUUAGGCGUUUUAGAUUUGGCGCGUACCAUACUAAUUUGAAAGGCAAGUUGUCGUAUCCUCAUCAUCUUUCGUAUAGGAUAAACUCUCAAGAAGGGUUGAGUGGUUCGGAUUAUACUAACCUCACAAGUGCUUAACUUCUACUUCUUUAACAUGGGCUUAUGGCACAAGGUCAAGGUAUCAAUCAAUAUUAGGAGUAUAACUAGACGUUAUAUCUUGAAACCCCUAUCUUAUACAAGGUGUGACAAUAUUCCCACUCUUGAUAAUUCGAUCUUCCCCACACUUCGGGAGUCGAUCGGUGGUACGUACCUAAAUUUUACUCCGUAAAUAAUUUUUACUGCUGGUAUGCUAUCUGAACUUUAUGCCUUAUUGUUCCAACCAAUGAUUUCAUCGCAACGAUUGAUCGUGUCCCCAUAAUAUGUAUUAUGUUUUGUGAUUCUAAAAUAAAAUACAACCUUAUAAAAUACCAUGUUCAACACAUCUACAUUGGUGGAUUCUUGAAACACUUUUAGUCCAGUCUAGAACCUCGUUUUUCCUAUUUGUGGUAAAUCUAUUAAGGAUAUGGGCUCAAGUAUGUCAAGGGGUAGCGUCAUCCUGCGGUCAACCGAAUUGGGUAGGAACUCUAUGGUCGCAUUCAUUCUAGCCCCUUUUAGAAUGAUGGUUAAAAGUCGCAAAUAAUAUAAAAUUGGGAAUCCGACAUAAAUAUCUGGAGGUAGGAACUCUAUGGUCGUAUUCAUUCUAACCCCUCUCAGAAUGAUGGUUAAAAGUCGCAAAAUGUUUAAAAUUGGGAAUCCGACAUAAAGAUAUAGAUUUAAAGAAGUGCGCAAGCUAUUCUCAAGGUUUCUUCUAGGAAGAUGCUAUGCGAAUUGUUCAUAAGGGUAAAGUAUAUGUAGUACAUUUCAGAAUUUAAAAAGCCUUAAAAGAGAUGUGUUAAGUUAUGAGUAUGAUUUCCCAUUGUCGUAUUGUUGCCCUCCAUGAUCCCGAUGUUCCAUGUAUAUAUGAUUAAAGAGGUGAUUGGGAACCUUCGGUAUAUCAUUCCGUUGGAAAUUAUUGAAGGUGAAGUUAAUGGGUAGUUAGCUUAUGCGAUAUAUCUAGCUGACAUUCUUGUUAUAUGAGUUUAGAGGUUGGGAUUGUUUCCAUAAAUAUGUUGUGGCAAAGCAUGUAGGAGGAUAAGUCCACCUUGAAGGCCGAAAAUGUCGUUUAAAGAAAAUACUCUCGCUUGAUCGUAUAACAAUUGGUUUUGAUUUGAAAGGUACCUUAUGGGUGUUGUGAUUUAAAAAUGUGCAAUCCAUGCCCAGGUAUCAUCGUGAUAGUGUGGUGCUUAUAAUAUUGAGGUUCCUGUUAUUGAUAUAUACAUUAUGGUAAUUUGUCCCAGGUAUCAUCGUUAUAGUGUGGUGCUUAUAAUAUUCAGGUUCUUGUUAUUGAUAUAUACAUUAUGGUAAUUUGUCGAGUUGUGAAUAUGUUUAUGUUGCUAGGGUAUGUUUUUGGGGCUCCCUGACAGGUGGAUAAGGCCUAGAUACAAAUGAGACUCUACCAAAUUUUGGAGAAUUUGGGAGUUAGUUAAAAUUUAGGGACUUGAAGUAGGUUAGAAAGAAAUCUAUUAUGUUAAGUAAGGGUGUACAUAGACCGGGUUGGUUCGGAGUUUACAAUUACCAAACCAAACCAAUUGUGUCGGGUUAUUAAAUCUAAAGACCAAACCAAACCANNNNNNNNNNNNNNNNNNNNNNNNNNNNNNNNNNNNNNNNNNNNNNNNNNNNNNNNNNNNNNNNNNNNNNNNNNNNNNNNNNNNNNNNNNNNNNNNNNNNNNNNNNNNNNNNNNNNNNNNNNNNNNNNNNNNNNNNNNNNNNNNNNNNNNNNNNNNNNNNNNNNNNNNNNNNNNNNNNNNNNNNNNNNNNNNNNNNNNNNNNNNNNNNNNNNNNNNNNNNNNNNNNNNNNNNNNNNNNNNNNNNNNNNNNNNNNNNNNNNNNNNNNNNNNNNNNNNNNNNNNNNNNNNNNNNNNNNNNNNNNNNNNNNNNNNNNNNNNNNNNNNNNNNNNNNNNNNNNNNNNNNNNNNNNNNNNNNNNNNNNNNNNNNNNNNNNNNNNNNNNNNNNNNNNNNNNNNNNNNNNNNNNNNNNNNNNNNNNNNNNNNNNNNNNNNNNNNNNNNNNNNNNNNNNNNNNNNNNNNNNNNNNNNNNNNNNNNNNNNNNNNNNNNNNNNNNNNNNNNNNNNNNNNNNNNNNNNNNNNNNNNNNNNNNNNNNNNNNNNNNNNNNNNNNNNNNNNNNNNNNNNNNNNNNNNNNNNNNNNNNNNNNNNNNNNNNNNNNNNNNNNNNNNNNNNNNNNNNNNNNNNNNNNNNNNNNNNNNNNNNNNNNNNNNNNNNNNNNNNNNNNNNNAUUUAUAAAUUACAUUACAAUAAGUAUAUUUAUAUAUUAAAUAUAUCUAAAAUUUCUAUAUAUCUAAUGUCGGGUUGGUUUGGUUUCGGUUUGAAUUUCUUUAGUUAAAACCAAACCAAACAAAUUAUGGUCGAUUUUUUUUUCCAACACCAAACCAAGUCAAACCAAACCAUAGUCGGGUUUUGUUUCUCGGUUUGACUCGGAUUAUCGGGUUGGUGCGGUUUAUCGGUUUUCUUUGUACAACCCUAAUGUUAAGCAUGUAAGUCGGACUCAACUCCUCAUUCGAGGACGGAUGAUCCUAAGGGGGGAGGGGAGAAUGUAAGGCCCCGAAAAAUUUCGCUAAGUAACCUAAGAUAUUGUGGUGCCAUGUAGGCUUAUUAUAAUAAUUUAUAUGCUUUUAACAUGGUGUACAUUGAUUGGAUUUUGUAGAUAUGUGUAUAAGUCUAAUGGUAAGUAAUUCGGGGUCCAAUGAAAGGCCUAGGUCUAAGAAAUAUUGGAAGGGUUCUUAAUAGGCUAAAAUUCCCAAUGAGCUUGCACAAGUUCCCAUUUUGAGCAAGCACACCUAAUUAUGUAUAAGGCUUUACAUGGUGAAUAACAUAACAAAUGAAAGGUCUUUGAGUCUAGUUUCCAACGCAUAGACUCUUACCUUUUGGGAAAAUGACCUAGGUGCCCUUCUUGACAAAUCUUCAAGGUUUAAGCAAGAUCUUUAGGAGAAAUGUUGAUGAAGAGCCCCUUCUUCCUCUAGGAACCCCUUUCUCUCUCUAAAUGCUCUCACUUAUCUAUAAAAUCAGAAGAAAAUACCCAAAAAUAUGAACCCUAAACGAGUUAAAUGAAAUAGAGUUUGGGUCUUAAAAACCCAUUUUUUGUACUGUCGUGCCGCAUGGGAUGCCGCGUGGUGCACCAAGUAGUGGAAAGUGUUCUUAGAAACGAAAUUGGAGGUGCUCUGAUAAUCUGCACAGUCACGCUGCAUGGGACGGCGCAUGGUGCGACGCGGUAGUAAAAAAUUCUUUGCUACUUUUGGUAAUGUGAUCAUAACUUUGUGUAGGAAUGUCCGAAUGACAAACAGUUUCUCUUUGGAGCAUUGGCUCAAGUGGCAACGCGAACUAUGAAAUAAAAGUGAAAGAAAGAAGAAGAAUCAUUAAAUGGUACCCUUGUCGGGUUGUUAUUGUGUCAUUGAUUAUCUUUCUUGCCGGGAUGUUAAAGUUGUUGAUGUUGUUCCCUUGCCAGGAGUUAACUCUUUACUUGUGUUCCCUUGCCCGGAUUUUUAUUAUUGUUUGUUUACUCUAUUGCCCCCUUGUUUGUGAUUGAUAUUUAGGUGAGGAUGAGUGUUAAAGCACGAAGGGUGAUGCCGUGCAUUGCUUGCUUAUGUGAGGAAAUAGGGUAAAGCACGAAGGGUGAUGCCGUGCAUUGUUUGAUAUUGUGAGGAAAGAGUGUAAAGCACGAAGGGUGAUGCCGUGCUGCAUGAUGUACCAUUCCGUGCCUAUUAUAUUGAUUUCAUGAUGAGGAAAGAGUUUAAAGCACGAAGGGUGAUGCAGUAUCAUACGAUGUACCAUUCUGUACUGAUAUUCAUAGAUUAUAUGGUGAUGGAAGAGAGUAAAAGCACAAAGGGUGAUGUCGUGAACUUUAUAUGAUUGAUUUGGUGAUAACGCGAGUAAAAGAACGAAGGGUGAUGCCGUGUAACUGUUGAUUUCUUACUCUUGUUGAUAUUCUAGUUGUGUUGUUUUCUUUCCAUAAUUGGUGUUUUAUUUAUGAACUGUUACUCUUCCUACAACAUGUUGCUUUCCCUCUUUGACUGGUUAUUUUUUUCACUUCUAUUCCAUCUCAUGUAUAUAUUGAAAUGGGAGCGGGUGGUAUGCCUACCACAAGAGAUAUUGAAAUGAGAGCGCUUGGUACGCCUACCGCAAGUUAAUGAUGAAAUGGGAGCGGGUGGUACGCCUACCACGAGAUAUGAGAAAUAGGAUCGGGUUGCACGCCUGUAACAAGAUGAGUAUUGAAAAGUUAAAGUUUCCUUUAUUUCCCUUUAUCCAUAUUAGAUGUUAAGUUGUAGUUUCCACAUUAUUCUUGGUAUGAUGCUUUAACUGUUACCCUCGAAGCAAGUUUCCCAGCUUUAAUUGUUUAUUAUCUGUUUAUUUUUCCGCCAAAUAUUAUAUUAUUGCUCAGGUUUAUCUGGAGUCUUGUCUUAGCCUCGUCACUACCUCGUCGGGGCUAGGCCAGACACUUACCAGCACACGGGGUCAAUUGUGCUGAUACUAUACUCUGUGCUAUUUUGCAUAGAUCCCGGUACCGGAUGGCACCAGUAAGUCGGGAGCCAACUUUCAGUUCACCGAGACACCGAGGUAGCCUUGAAGGUGUCCGCAGGCCCGGCGUCUCCACUAUCUUAUAUUUCAUUAUGUUAUCUCGUGUAUCCGAGACAAACAAUGUAUUAUUUCUUUCAAACGAUUGUAUUUAGUAUUCUAAGUAGUUCGUGAGUAUUGUGACACAAGUCCUGGCUAGAGUCUUAUGUUGAAUUUUUCGCAUUUCUAUUCAGUUUUCUAUGAAUAAAGACUUUCGCUUAUUAUUUAAUUCCUUUGCUUUUAUAUUAUUGUCAAUAAUUAUUAAAAGUGAUUGUGUUAUUAAUGAAAAAUUAAUUAAAUUUGGCUUACCUAGCUCACAUUAGUAGGUGCCAUCACGACCAGGGGUAGAAAAUUCGGGUCGUGACAUAGUGUAAUGUACCUGUGAUUAUAUGUAAUGUUAUUAGGAACAAACAAUAAAAAUAAAAAACGAUGACGAAAAUCUUUGAUUUCAGAGAAGAAAAAAUCAAAAAACGCGAAUAACAGGAGAGUUUUUAGAAACAAUAGAGAACUAGCGUGUACUUGGAGAGAAAGUAGUCUUUUAAUAAAGAAGGACAAAAUAGUCUUUUAAAAGGCUUUUAAUAAAAAAACAGGUACAAGUGCAAACAUAAAAAAAAAUUGUUACAGGUUAAAAACGAGCGAGCGCCCCAUGUAAUUUUUACCUAUUCUACUCUAACCCAACGCUCCGAAGCCCAAGUGCUCCCCCGCCAUCUCUGUCGGAAAAUUGAAGAAAUUUCAUCAUCUUCUCUUGUCGAAGCUUUCCCUCAUUUUUCUCAAAAGUAUAAGUUAUUAUCUAUUUACAGCUUUAUUCUUAGCUCUUUUUUCACAAUUUGGUUGUUCCUAAAUUCUAAUGUUGCAUUUAAUUGGUUGAAAAUCCCCUUUAGCACCUUAAGUUAAAAUUAGUGCUACUAUUUUUUUUAUAUUUUAAUUUUUCUAAUUAAAAGUCCUCUUUUAGCAUUUGAUAUCAAUGUGUUUCAGAUCUUUCAAGAUUAUUAAUUAUUAGACCAUUUGGUUGAUCUUGAAUUUGCUGCAAAAUAAUCAACUUUGUUGCUUCCUUUUUUGGCCUUUAGUUAUCAUUGGAUGUCUCGCUACAAUGUUUCAGAUCUUUCAGGAAUUUUAAUUAUUAGACCAUUUGGUUGAUCUUGAAUUUGCUGCAAAAUAACCAACUUUGUUGCUUCCUUUUUUGGCCUUCAGUUAUCAUUGGAUGUCUUGCUACAAUGAAAAGUUUUACACAAUUGUCGUAACCGAUUAAAAAUAGAACACAAUGGGUAUUUAAGUGGAUAAUGGUAGCGGCGGAUCCAUUAUCUUCAGUUUCAAAGACUGUGGUUGGUCAUAAGAAAUUGAUGGAAUGAUUCAGCAAAGAUCAAAUUCUCCAAUAAGCAACGUGAUUUUCUUCAAACAAUUCAUAUGAGAUAUCUUAGCAUAAUAGCAACGAGAUUUUACGAUUCUAAGGAAGUACAGUGCAGUCUUUCUCAAGAAUAUCAUACGAACUUUUCCCUACUUUGAUCUGUCAUUACGUAUAGUCGCAAUUAACGUGUAUUAGAGGGAUUGUCAAGAGAACCAACUUAGGUAUGUUAAAACUAUUCCUUCUUUCCUUUUGGCAUGAUCCAUACGAGACAAACGAAACGAGCAAAUGUACAACUUUCAUAAGUGACUCUAUACGUAAAAAUGCUAGAGAUGUUUAUAUUCUUGAUUCUCGAUAAGUUUUAUUAUUCUAUCGUCUGUUCAUUGGUCUCAAAAAAUACAUAACAUGAUAAAUCCUAUUUCAUGAUAUUAGUUGGAGGCAUAAUGGUCUUAUGACACUCCGAAAGAUUUUAUUGACGUACUUCUCAUGCAUUGCAUUUAUUUACAUUGGUCCAUGACCAGAUGGCAUUAUAUAUAUAUAUAUAUAUAUAUAUAUAUGGGAUAUGGGAAAGGUUAUAUCGUUAUAUACGCACCACCANNNNNNNNNNNNNNNNNNNNNNNNNNNNNNNNNNNNNNNNNNNNNNNNNNNNNNNNNNNNNNNNNNNNNNNNNNNNNNNNNNNNNNNNNNNNNNNNNNNNNNNNNNNNNNNNNNNNNNNNNNNNNNNNNNNNNNNNNNNNNNNNNNNNNNNNNNNNNNNNNNNNNNNNNNNNNNNNNNNNNNNNNNNNNNNNNNNNNNNNNNNNNNNNNNNNNNNNNNNNNNNNNNNNNNNNNNNNNNNNNNNNNNNNNNNNNNNNNNNNNNNNNNNNNNNNNNNNNNNNNNNNNNNNNNNNNNNNNNNNNNNNNNNNNNNNNNNNNNNNNNNNNNNNNNNNNNNNNNNNNNNNNNNNNNNNNNNNNNNNNNNNNNNNNNNNNNNNNNNNNNNNNNNNNNNNNNNNNNNNNNNNNNNNNNNNNNNNNNNNNNNNNNNNNNNNNNNNNNNNNNNNNNNNNNNNNNNNNNNNNNNNNNNNNNNNNNNNNNNNNNNNNNNNNNNNNNNNNNNNNNNNNNNNNNNNNNNNNNNNNNNNNNNNNNNNNNNNNNNNNNNNNNNNNNNNNNNNNNNNNNNNNNNNNNNNNNNNNNNNNNNNNNNNNNNNNNNNNNNNNNNNNNNNNNNNNNNUAUAUAUAUAUAUAUUUCCAUGUUCUAUAUUCCAUAGAUGAUUUUUCCCACAAUGUCUUAAUUGAUAUGAUGAGAUGUCAGAGGCUUGAUGAUGUUAUGAGAACAUGUACUUAUGCACGACAUGACAUUCAUAUGCACAUUCAUGACAUUAUAAGUAUUUCCUAAUUUACAAAGUUAUCCAGACUUAUAGGUUAAGUCAUUUACUCUAUAUUUCUUCCAUAUCUUUUACGUACUUAUUUAUGUGCCUUACAUGCUUGGUACAUUACUCAUACCGACGUUCCUUUUGCCUAGGGAUGCAGUGCUUUAUGCUCGCAGGUCCCGAUAGACAGGUCGAGAGUUCUCUAAAUAGGCAAUCAGCUCAACGGAAGAUGUUGGUGCGUUCCAUUUGCUCCGGAGUUGCUUGUUUGGUCAGUAUGAGUUAGACACAUAUUGUUUGGUAUGGCGGGUCCUUGUCCUGAUCUUUAUGACAAGUAUGUACUCUUAGAGAUAUGGAGACAGAUUUCACGUAUACGGAUGCUUGUAUGUCCUUUCCGGCAUAUGUUUUAUAACAGGUUGGAACAUCCUAUAUUGAGUAUUCCUCUAUGUCUAUUCUGGCUAGCCCAUGACGAUCUGUUUGGCUCAUUUGCCAAUGAAGGUAUAAUAAGAAAGAUAUGUUAUGUUGGUACUCUGUUAAGUAGGUACUAGGUGUCCGCAGCAGCCCAUAGGUUUGGGUCAUGACAAAUGAGGGUUGAGCUUCACCAUGGAUACUAAAAAUAUAGUUGCUAGGUAGUGAGAAUGGUAUGUAUGUAGUCCAUCUAGGACUAAAAUUUACUUGGAGGGUGGGAGUAGGAACAAAUGUACAUGUUAAAUGUUUGUGUAAAUGUCACAAUGAGGUUGAGAGUGUAAAUUUGUGACCAAGUGUGAGGGUAAUGUCUGAGUAUCCUUUCUUUGUCCGUCGAAUGAUUCAUUUGCUAAUAUUUUGCAGUUUGUUUUAGGUGAAAUGAAUCCCUCUAAGAAAAGAAAAACUGCAAGUGCCUCCACAGGUAGUCAAGCAGGCCAUCCAGGUCACGAGUUUCUGCAUCAGCUCGCCCAUAUAAUCAGAAAAAGUCCGUCUCCUGGGAAGCCCAAGAAUGAUUUAAUAGCAAAGUAGGAAUAUCCCAUACCGUAAAGGGGAACUGAUAUUGGGACUCUCCAAAAUGAUUGUCCUAAAGUGUAUUAGGAUUUGGUCAGGCGAGGAAUGAGGGUGUUCUUCGAAGAACCUGACAAGGCAAAUUUAAUGAUUGUUUGAGAAUUCUAAGGACCAUGUUUGUACAAUCCGGAAGAAGAAAGUGGACUUCCCCAAGGAGGCCAUCCAAAGGGCCUAUCACUUUCUACAGUACGUGAAAGACCCUGAUGAAAACAAUCACUAUUUCACGCACAUCGAAAAUCCUGCUUGUGGUGCACAUUCUUUGCAACCAUUUGUGUACCUAGGAAGGAGGUAGUGUGGAUAAAGAAGAGGAACAAAUUUCAUUCGGCUUCGCUCACUUUUGAGGAGAAGUGCUGGCUAUACACCAUCAAUAACCGCCUGAUGCCUUCAAGCAACACAACUAAGGUGAAUGGUCCUCGGACUGCUCUGGUUUGGUGAUUUAUCAAUGGCCACGACAUUGAUGUGGCUCAGGUCAUUCAAGAUAAGAUUAAAAUUCAUUGUCCAGUGUAGAUAUAUGGUUUCUUGUUCCCGCCGCUAGUCACUCGGUUGUUUCGUAAAGCACGGGUACCAAAAAAUCACACUAUGGAUGGGGAAGUCAAGUGAGAACAGAAAUUCGGGCUGAUAAGUUUGUAAGUGGGAAGGAAUAUGGUGUGGUUGUUGAGGCGGGUACUGAGGAAUUUUAUGCACCCGACAAGGUGAAGGAGAAGCACGGCGAGGAUAUUGACAGCAACCCCGCAUGUGCAUGGUGUUGGAGAUCUUUUUGGUAACAUAUGAGAGACGAGAAUGGUUGCCAUGGAAUAGAAAAUGGCUGGGAUGCAGACUUCUCUCAAUGAUUUGGGCACCAAAGUGGACUCACUCGCUAAUCAAAAUGCCAAAUCCGAGAAGACGAUCAUGGCAUGACUGUGUGCACUUGGCUGGGCUUGUCAUUUAGACCCCGACAUACUCUCCGACACGGAGUGACCCGAUCAGGGGAGUUUUCUUCACCCUUGCAUUUAAAUUUGGUAAUUUGGGGACAUGCCACUAAUCAAGUGUGGGGGUAUGGGUAGUGUAAAUAGUGUUUUUUGGAGAUCUUUGUAGUAAGUCCCCGGAAAAUUUUGCUAAGUAAUUUAAGAUUUUGUGGUGCCAAGGUAGGCUACUUAUUUUAUUUUGUGUGAAAAUGAGGAUUCAUGAUACCAUGGAUAUCAAUUGGAUAUUUCAACAAGCGUAUAAGUCAUAUUAUAAGUGAUUUGGUGUCCAAGGUCUAAGUCUAAGCCAAGUUGGAAAAUUUCAUAAUAGACUAAAGUUAUGAAUGAGUAUACACAAGACCUCACUUUAGAAAAGCAUAUAUCCAUUUAUAUAAGAAGUGGUGUGAUGUAAAACCUAUCAAAUUAAAGCUCUUUAAGUCUAGUUUCUAAUGCAUCAAACUGUUUGUCAUUUGGAGGUAUAUACAGAAAGUUAUGACCAUUUUACCGGAUCUGUGUCAAACGCGACCGCGGGAAAACUAGAAUUUUCUGCCUCUGAGCGCGGCCCGAGCGCGGUAAGAGCGCGUCCACCGCAUCCUGGGUGCGAUUUAACCGUGGUCGAAUGCCUAGCAGACCAAUAAAUAUCCCAAGACCUGGUAUGGAGAGUCUCUAAGUCAUUUUUUGAUCCAGGACUUGCUCUAUCAAGGGGAAUCUGUCCCAUACUUCCCUCCUAUGAUCCAAUGUAAUGUUUUUUGAGUAUUUUGGGUUGAUUACAACUCCUAAGUAUCUCACUUUGGGACAUUCCGUUGUAAGUAUCUCACUUUGUUCCUAGUAUCGUGGUUGCCCGUGGCGUGGUCGUGUAUUGCAGUUGAGAGUUAAUAUAGCAGAAGCAUGUCCAUCUAUAACAAAUCUUUAUUUUCUAUUUACACCUCCACAACAUGUGAUAAUUGUGUUCUUAGUGAAUUCAUUGUGCUAGUUUCCCCACACUUGUUUGAUAGCCAUGAGAGAACACAUCGUUCUAUAAGAAAUUGUAACAGUUUAUUUCUCGUAAGGACCCUUACUAGGCUCUCCGUCAAGACCAAGUACACCUUUGGAUGUUAUCGUAGCACAACGCUUGUUUCUCCUAUUUUCUGUCUUUCAUUAGCAUCUGGAUAUUUCUCAAGUCAAAUCCAUGGAGAAAGAGAACUCGUUAUGAACAUCUGCACACCCUCCAUGAUUAUUUUUUACUAUCUCAUUGGGUUCCCACCUCACUUCAAGUUCAUCAAAGGUUGAUAGCGUGCCGCAAUUGCUGAGGUUGAAUGAUCUCCUUUCGAUAAUGGAGAUUAUCUACACAUGUGCUAGUCCAACGAUCUGCUUAUCAGUCUAACUCUCGCCUUUUGAUUUUGGUUUGACCAAGGAACAAUACACCUAGUAACACAAUCGCAUGUAAAGCUUUUCUCUCAAUCAAGUAUAAUAGAGUCUCCCAAUUUGGCAAGUAAUAGCUGGUUCUGUAGUUGUGUGUUGUAGUGCUUCAUUGUGAAGUAGAGUUGCUAAACAUAAUUGGAUUUUUGAAUUCUGGAGCUAUACACGUGACUAUAUACAAAGAUCUUCUUUUAAAAAAAAAUUUAGCUUCUCGUAAUCCCUUAUAUUACCACCCUUCCAAGUAGUUACAAUGUAAAGGUUACUUCCAUAGGCUCUCUCACAUUUUUUUCAUUUGCCCUUGCAUCAUGUGUCGUUUCUCCAUAUUUUUCAAUAUGAUCUUUCUCAUUUUAUCAACUAGCUAUCCAACUAUAAGAUUCGAUUCAAUUCACCUCACUUUUAUGUACUAUACAAGCCCCCUUUUUCUCUAAAAAAGGAUACUGGAAGUGGGUAAAUUCCCGUUUACUAUAGACUUCUAAUGUCUUCAACUCAGUUUAAGCUUGGUUGUUCCAAAUGGUGAUCUUUCGUUUUGCUACCCUUUUAUCUAUUCAUCUGGUAACUCUCAUUGUAAAACUCAUUUUAUGCUUUAUGGCAUCAAAGAGGAAGUCUUAUAGCAUCAAGGAUGGGGAUAUAUUCCUUUUGCUAGAAUAAAUAAAUAUUGCUGGUAUUCCUUUUAGAUGUUCUUCUAACAACCAUUUACCUGCUCUGCUUGUCCCUGUAACUAGAUAACCUAGGUUACUUUUACCCGAUAAAUGUAUUAAGACAUCUCAUUCUUUCAAACUUAUCCAUGUAUGCACUUUAAAGUCUUGUUUUAUACCAACUCGUAAUGGUUUUAAGUACAUUCUCGCCAUUGUUAAUAAUUUUCUAGGGCUACGUAAACUUGUCUCAUGGGUUCCAAAAGUAAUUAUUUCGCCUAAGUUCAAACUUAUAUUACCAUGGUAUCAAACAAAAGUGCAUCCCCUUUUCAAAAGUCUAAAAUGGGUCGGCUUGGAUGGGUUAUGUGAUAUUCUGAUCACUCGGCUUUUAGGAUUUUUGACAACGUCAUUGUCAUGGCGGGACAUUUUGCUACCCCUAGCAUUUUACCUCCUUAAGAAGGAUAGGAGUUUUAAUUGUCUUUCCUCCUGGAGCAUUACAUCAACCAUUAAAACCCCACUAACAAAUACAUGAUUUUACCUCCUAGCUAUGUGAUUUCACUCGUGAAAAGUUGAGAUUAUAUGCCUUCAUAUUUUUGCACAUAGCAUGAGCAUAUUGAUUUGGAAGAACAGUUGUCGUAUCUUUAAUUCUCUCAUAUAUGGUCAAUUAUCAGGAAGGGCAAAGCUAUUUGAAACAUGACAAUCUCAUAAGUAUUCAACUUCUUUCCAUCCUCAUGGGCCUGUGGCAUAGAUUCCUUAUGUCAGUUAACAAAAAAGAUUGCAAUUCAACUUCAUGUAUUUUGAAUCCCAUAAUGUAUUUCAAGGUGCCGGAGUGUUUUUAUUCUUGAUAAACGGAUUUUCUCUACACUUCAGGAGACGACUGGGUCACGUACUUGAAUAUUCCCCCUUAAUGGUUCCUAUUACCAAUGUACGAGCUACCCUAUAACUUAAUUUUCUAAUAAUUGAUGUUGUCACAAUGACUAAUCAUGUCAGUGUUAUUAGUAGUAAUCCUUGUGUCUAUUAGCAUAUAACCUCAUGAAAUACUCUGCUCAGCACAUUAAAGGAUUCCUGAAUAAUUCCUGCCUGAUCUUAAACUCUGUUGUUCCUCAUUGUAUUAGAUCCAUUGGGUAUUAUAGGUUCAAACGAGUCAAAGAGGAAGCUUCACAGUGUGAUCACAUAUAUUUGAUAAGUAAUUUUAUUGUCAGUUUAUGAUAGCACAUCUUAGAGUAGCUGUUGAAGGUCAUCAAUGGUUUAUUGUGAGUGUUCUCCUAGAGAUUUAGAGUUUUGGAGGGUGAACAUGUUAUUCUCAACAUUUUCCCCUGAAGAUGUUAUAUGAGUUGAUAAUGAAGGUUGCAUAAGUGUAUUCCACAUUAGGCUCCACUAGGAGUUUGAAAUUUCCCCAUAGUUGUUUGCUAUAUAUUUUGUGUAUUCACAUGUCUAUGUCUAAGAAGGUAGUUGGAGAUCAUUUGUGUAUCAUUCCGGUGGAAAUUAUUGAAGGUGAAGUUAAUGGAUAGUUAGCUUAUGCGAGGUAUCUAGCUGUCAUUCUUGUUAGAUAAGUUUAGAGGUUGGAAUUGUUUCCAUAAAUGUGUUAUGGCAAAGCUUGCAAGUCAAGAAGGCCACCUUUAACGUCGAAAGUGUCGCGGAAAGAAAAUAUUUUCGCUUGAUUGUAUAACAAUUGGUUAUGAUUUGAAAGAUACCUUAUAGGUGUUGUGAUCUAAAAAUGUUCAAUCCAUGUUCAGGUAUCAUUAUGAUAAUGUAGUAUUUAUGAGUGUGAGAUUAGUAUUGUUGAUAUAUACAUUGUGGUGAUUUGUCGAGUUGUGGAUGAGUUGUUAGGAUGGUCUUGGUGAUUCUAUGGCAGGUGGAUAGGCCUAGUUACAAAGGAGAUGCUGCCAAAAUUUCUGAAAAAUUUGGGAGUUAGUCUAAAUUUAGGGAAUUGAGGUAGGUGAAAAGGGGGGUUGGUGUGUAUAUUGUGUUAAGCAUUUAGGGCGGACUCUACUUAGCCGAUCGGGGUGUGAUCGGACGCCAUGUUAUACACACAUGGUGGUAAUGCAAUGGUAAUUGAAACUGGAAAGCGAGACUGAAAUAACGGUAAUGUCUUGGUAAGACGGCUUAGCCAAUCGGGCCGUGAUCGGACUCCGCUCAAAGAAGCAACGCUAAUGUAGAUGAUGAUGUAAUGAUGUGGAAUUCCCCAAUCUAAAAUUUUAGAAAAUUAUGUGAAAACUAUGUGAACCUCUUAUAUUGUUGGUGUGGUGCUUAUUUGAAGCUUUGUUUUCCUUAUGAUUUCUCUUACACUUGUAUGAUUGUUCUUUCUAAUUGGAUGGUGUUUAAUUAUACAAACUAGUGCUAUUCGAUGGCAUUAACGUCCCUUUUAUCGGGGGCGAUACGUCUUUAAAUGGAUGUAGGUGUUUUAUAACAGGCACCGUUGGUCGCAGCUAGUGUCAUAUCAUCCUUUCAGCUGGCAUGGUGAGUCCCCACUUCGUUUUGGGGUCCUAUUUCAUUUGUAUAUCAUGUACUUUGUAUUUGAGGUAUAGCCGGAACCUUGUUGUCGGUAUUUUCAUAUUAUGUUUCAGUUGUAUUUAGAGGCUCCGUAGACAGGUAGUGGGUAGUGUUGGGUAUCGAAAUUAAAGUAGAAAUAUUGAUGUUUCGCAAUGAUGUAUAAAACUUGUAAUAUCUUCAAAAUUGUGAAUGAAGAUGUUAAUGGAAAUGAAAUGGAAUUGUUAGUGACAUGUUUAUAGAAUUUGAUUAAUGGUGUACAUUUCCUCUUUAUUCAAAAACGAAUUUGGGUAGUAUGAAACCUAACAGGCUUAUUAAGUAAAUAAAAAAUCCAAAAAUAUUUUCUUCAUUUUUAGGAUAACUUCUCCACUUGUACUUCCAUGGGUUUCUUGUUUGGUUCUUUACCAUGAUCGUAAUAUUUUGAACCCCACACCUUUUAGAGUAGAUUUUUAUUAUUUCUUUAUUUUAGAUCUUUGAAAAGUUACUUGUGGUUGGCAAAAUUGGCUAUGCCUGACUGGUGGAAUGCAUGAUCCUUCCUGUGUAAGUCAUAGAGACCAUUGGUGUUUGAGGUCUAAAUUAUGUGCCUAUCCGAGAUACUAUAUGGGGUGAGACAAAUGUUUGCUUAGUGAUUGUACAUGAAAAGGUCUAGAACUUAGCUUGGUUGUAACUUAAGGCGAACUCUUAGGUAACAAUUGAGGUUGGAGAUGACUGUAGGACUUUUUUGAUAGCUUCUUGUUUCUUCGACUACUUUGACCCCUCCUAGGAACUGAUAAUUAUCCCUAGUCAACCCAGUUGAGCCUAAUUCCCUCUUUCUUUGGGUACCAUAGUACAACCUCAACCUGUAGCCAUUCCUAAGCACUUGAGUGCCUUGUAUUAAUGCUAAAAGAUGAAGAGACAUAAGUGUGGGGAUGGAGGCUGGUGGAACCAAGGUUAAGAAAAAAAAAGGUGCAUCAUCAUGAAUUAUAGUGAGAUACGAGAGCGGGGAUUAUGAAAAAGAAAAAAUUUGCUCAUGUUGAGUAAGGAAAUAAUAGUGAAUGUUCCCCUGUUGAUGUAAAAUACUUGUAUACUAUGCUUAAACAAUUGAGACUUGUGUGUGCUUUUGAUUGGGGAAUUCGUGGACAAUUGUCAAUAAAAAGGAGUAGGACAAGCAUGAAUUUGUUGUAAUGAAAGUGCUCAGUGAGGUGUAGAUACUCUUAUGUAGAUUAUAUCCGACCUAUCCCAUAGCCUACACUACAACCCAAUACAUAGUACUACAUGAUCUAGAUGAGGGUGUUCCUACCGUAACGGAGAAGUAUAUGAUAGCCACGCUUAUGGUACUUUAGAAAGCAUGAGUCACUUCUUUGUGAGGGUGAGUGAUUGUUGCAUACUUCCAGAGGCUGUUAAGUUCAAUUGGUGUGUGAAUGGGCUUUGUCUUUUUUCUUGUAAGGUGUAUCGAGAGUUUGGUGCCAAUUUGAUCACAUCACUAGUGGAAUGUUAUGAUCAGGGUUGGGGUUGAAUGUGACCCCAAGGUGGUAUCAAGUUGAUUUAGUCGGCCACUUGCCUGAGGUGGUUGCAGUAUUAGGAGCAUUUUCAUUUUAGAUUUUCUUGAGGCGAGCAAAAGCUAAGUGUGAAGGUGUUUGAUAAGCUUAAAGUUACUUAUUAUUUAUGCCCACUUUGUGUCUAUGUUUUGGCUGAUUCGAUAGAGAUUUGGUCGUGUUUGAGUCUAAUAUGUUAUUUUUCAGUGCACGAGAUGCAGAAGGGAUCAAUGGACGAAUAAUGCACUUAGUGGGAGGAAAACGAGUUGAGCAGUAGGAAAACUCAGGUGCACGAUCGUGCAUGAGACACCCCAGUGCACUUGAGCGCGCAAGUGACAUAGUGUACUACUGCUAGAGGUGCGACCAUGAGCACGGUCAUACCUACAAGUUCGUGGCCGCACACAUCCGCUUCCCGGAACUUCACUCAUGCCUAUUUUUGUAAUUCGAAGGCGACUCUUUUUGACCUAUAUGAAGCCUAGCUUGUCUCAAUACAAGGUAUCUCCUAUUUGGAGCAACUUUUGGAGAGAAAAAGGUAAGAAAACAACGAAGACUUGAAAUACUUAAUCCAAUUCAUUCAAUGUGGAAGUUUGUUUGAUUUUGGGGUUUAUAAUAUCUUCUUGUUCUUCUAAUACUCUUGUGAUAAACAAUUUCUCCACCAUGGAGUAAUCUUUCUUAGAUUUAUUGACGUAUAUUAUGACUGGACUAUUAUUUUGGGUUUUACUUUCUGUUAGUUGCCCGAAUUUGUUGAGUGAGUUAUUAAUUGAAUUGCAAGAUUAACUGUGGUUUUACUUUGCAAUUCGCAUUGUAUUAUCUUGUUUGGGUUGGUUUUAUGCCUCUCUUAGGUAGAGCUUAGAGAGUUAUCAAUUGACCAAAUUUGGAAGAACAAUCGAGAUACGUUCUUUGAUUAUUUUCUUUGCAUAUAUUCAUAGGACCUAUUAUUAGGUUGGUUAACGAAACUUUCAUUCAUUCGGAAGAAGAAUUUGAAUCCUUAAGAUAGCCUAAUCAUCUGUUAAAAUCGAAGGAGUCAACAAAAAUUAAGAGUGAACGUCGCACAGAAUGACCCAAUAAAAUAGUUGAUCACAUAUCUUGUCACAACCCUUACUUUUCAUCUUGAAUUUCAAUUGUUGCUGCUUAGUUAUUAAAUUUCCAUCAUUUUCUCACAAUGGAUAGUCUUAGUUUUUAUUAUUAGUUGAUAAUGACAUAAAUCAAAGAUUUAUUUUCCUGGAUAGUGUUAAGCUGAAGAUUUAUUAGAAUAUUAUUUAAAUUAAUUUAUGUGGAGACAGUUUAAUACUAUAUACUAUCUUUGACUAAAGGACCUAAGUUUUGUACAUCAAUUUUGUGCUCGCCAAAAAGUUAUCUUUUUUUACUUCUCCGAAACUGGUUCUGCUUCCUCCAACUUGUUAUGUUCCAUUGUAGAUCAAAUGAAUUAAUUUCAAUGUCCUUAAAUACUUUCCUCGUCUAAUUGCAUGUCUUUCCUAAAACCUUAUUUACAAGUAAUUCAUCAAAUGUGAAAUAUAUAAAAGUAAUUUGGAGAAAGCAAGAAAUAGCGAUUGGAAUCUAUCAUAGAAUCCUUUCUCCUUAAUUUCCAAAACAGCCCUAUUUCUAAAUUCGUCGUGUUUAUCCUUUUCUGUUUUCUUCUUUUGACAUAUAUCCAAUUUUUUUGACCUCCUUUUUUCUUAGUCUUUUAUUUAAAAUUAAAUAUCUAGAUAUUUUAUUUUUUGUUCCUUAGAGAAGGGGUUAUUGAAAUUGUUUCGAAAUUGCAGAGAGUCCACCUAGUAGACCCAAAGUCCACUCAUUUUGGAGGCACACAUUUGUCCUUCACAAAGCUUACCUGUACGAGCAUCCAAACUAUUUCACAAAACCAAUAAAAUAACGCCACGUGUAGUGGUAUAUAAUUUCUUUGAGCUGGACUGAUCACCCGCAGGUGAGAAAAGAAAUUGGGUCAGAUCUGGUAAUAAGAGAAAUAUAAGGGGCCUAUAAGAGCAAAACAAAUCCGCGUUGCAUUUGAAUCACACCAAAUUUAUGGAUCAGAACCCUCGCUUUUUAUAGUUUCUCUCUCUCGAAACCCAAACCCCUCUUUCUCUCUCUAAUAUUUGGCCUUGCUUUUGGGUGGCGGCUGAAACUCUCACUCCUCACACCCGUUGUCUCCCUCUAGGGUUUUACAAAUCUCUCCUCCAUUUUUGAAGAUCUAUCUUGUCUUAUGGCAGCUGUUGCUCCUCCUGCUGAUCGUAUCCUUAUAUAUUUUACUUAUAUGGGUAUUUUUUGUUUUUUUUUCUUGUUCAAAUCGACCCCCCAAGUUUUGAGUUUUACUUGUUUUAUGAAGAUAUACACUAGAUAUAGGUAUCUCUAUGUUUAUGGGUAGAAUUUUUAUGUGAGUCUAUUGGGAUUCGUUAGAUCCGGGCUAUUGUGAUAUGCGUUGCUGUUAUCUGGUUGAUUUUUUAUUUGUUUUGGUUUUGUUUGGUGAGUGAUUUAUGUGUUUUAGUCUGUUGAGAGCCUUGGCUAAUAAUCUGUGUUUUUCUAUUUUUUAAAAUUGGUUUAUACGUGCGUUUAUGGUGUAUAUAGGCUGUAUGCCAUUUUUUUAAAUAAAAAAUGUUUUGCAGCUGGUAUACGUUCGAAAAUUUUGUAGCUGAUGUGGUGAUAUAUAACUCGGUGUUUUCUAUUAGCAACAGUGGAAAUUUGGUUUGGUUUUGGUUUUAAAUUUCUUUGCUAAAUUCUUUAAUUAUUUGGAAUUGCGGAUUUAAAGAGUUUAUGGGCUAAUUUUAGUAAAUUUACAUAGUUCCAAACGAUGUGUGUUGUUCAGUACAAAUUGAUUGAUAUGUUGGAAUUGUUCUUGGCCUAGUUUGUUGCUAUGUUUUUGGGCUAAUUGUGUGAAGUGCUAUUCCUUUACUUUUACUGCUAUAGAAGCUACGGAUUUGCUGCAGAAGUUGUCAUUGGAUUCUCAAAAUAAGACACUUGAAAUUGCAGAGCCAAAAAAGAAGGUACCCUUUUAGUUGUUUUUUUUCAAAAUUCUUUUAUUUUGGUCAAUUGGUCUAAAGUUCUUAAUUUGAAAUUCUGAUCCUUUUUCAGCCUGUGGACUCCAAAGACCUGGGAAAUGGUCAGAUCCAGUCAGUGGAUCGAUCAGUUACCCCUCUAUUGCCUGACUUCAUGGAUCCAACUUUGUGCUAUGUUCCUAAUGGCUAUCCCUCAUACUAUUAUGGUAUUGUUAAUAUCGUCUGAAUUAAAUUUAUGGCUUCACUUUGUGUCAGAACAGUCUAUAUGUACCUCUGUUAGGAUUUUAUUCAAAACAAAAAUAUACAUCUGUUAGGAUAAUGAUGUUUUAUUUCUUCACAAUUUAGCACCUCUCUUGGUUCAUAUUACUGACAUUCUUUUCUAUUCUUCUAUAGGGUAUGAUGGUUCUGGUAAUGAAUGGGAGGACUAUACAAGAUAUGUGAACCCAGAGGGAGUUGAGAUGACUGUAAGUUAUUCUGCCUGCGAUGCUAGCUACAGCACUUGAUGUCUUAAUGUAUUUGCUGGAUUCAAUCUUUGGUGUCACGUUGCUUUUGUUUAUUAUUUAUGUAUUUUGGUUUUGAUAUGAUGAAAACGCAGGGAGCUUAUGGGGACAACGGGUCAUUUAUGUAUCAGCAUGGCUAUGGUUAUGCACCCUAUAGUCCAUAUUCACCUGCUACUUCCCCUGUCCCGACUGUGGGGCAUGACGGCCAGCUUUAUGGAGCACAACACUACCACUAUCCAUAUUUCCAGCCCCUCCCUCCAACCAGUACUCCAUACACUACUCCAGUUGCUCCGGCCAAAGGUGAGAUCGCCACCUCUGCUGCUGCUGACCAAGCACCAUUGUCUGUGGAUUCUGCUAAUGGAAAUUCCAAAGGCAUUGCAAAUGGUGGUGUAAAGGGAAAUACUGCGUCUACGCCUGUGAGGCCUGCAUUCCAGCAUUCAUCCUUAAAUGCUAAUGGCUCUUUUGGACGAGGUGGUGCCUUACCUGGAGGGGUUGCUUCGGGCUAUCAGGAUCCUAGAUUUGGUUUUGAUGGUGUAAGGUCUCCCAUUCCAUGGUUAGAUGGGUCAAUGUUUACUGAUGGGCAAGCCAGGCCAGUGGCGAGCAAUCCUAUUACGCCUUCAUUUUCAAAUGGCGGUGCUGUUCCAUCAUCAAAAAAUCAGAACGUUCAUCCACAUCUAAUGGUAUGUUCUAUUCUACAAUAUUGAUCUGUUAUUGCACUUCUCAUUACAGUCUCCUUCGUGAUAGGCCAGUGGUGAGCAAUCCUAUUACGCCUUCAUUUUCAAAUGGCGGUGCUGUUCCAUCAUCAAAAAAUCAGAACGUCCAUCCACAUCUAAUGGUAUGUUGUAUUCUAAAAUAUUGAUCUGUUAUUGCACUUCUCAUUAGUCUCCUUCGUGAGACUUAGAAGCUCCGUGUUUGUACUGUAUGGUCAGUUCAUUUUCUUGUUGGAACUGACACUACUGUUUCAUUGUCAGGGCUUGCACCACCCUAGGCCCUCGUCUGGCAUGAAUACAGCUAAUGGGUAUAUGAAUACAUUGUAUCCCAAUAAAUUUGGGAACACAUUCAGCUCUGGCAUGGGCUUUGGAUCUAACAGGUAUGACUCUCGCGCUACAGGUCGUGGGUGGACGCCGGUUGACAACAGGUUUAAACCCAGGGGUAGAGGAAAUAGUUUCUAUGGCUAUGGUAACGAGAACAUGGAUGGUUUAAAUGAGCUCAACAGGGGACCAAGAGGUAAAGGUUCCAAGAACCAGAAGGGUUUUACACCAGUUGCUUUGGCAGUCAAGGGGCAGAACAUCCCCCUAACUGUAACCAAUGAUGCCGAUAAAGAUAAACAGAGCCUGAUUCCUGACAAAGAACAGUACAACCAUCCAGAUUUUCCAGUGACAUAUACUGAUGCCAAGUUUUUUAUCAUCAAGUCUUACAGCGAAGACGAUGUGCAUAAUGAUGCCGAGAAAGAUAAACAGAGCCUGAUUCCUGACAAAGAACAGUACAACCAUCCAGAUUUUCCAGUGACAUAUACUGAUGCGAAGUUUUAUAUCAUCAAGUCUUACAGUGAAGAUGAUGUGCACAAAAGCAUCAAAUAUAAUGUUUGGGCUAGUACACC